RNAcentral lists this ribosomal RNA (2885 nucleotides) under Acinetobacter baumannii 303002. RNAcentral describes it as "bacterial LSU rRNA". It matches the Rfam family "Bacterial large subunit ribosomal RNA". Lineage: Bacteria; Pseudomonadati; Pseudomonadota; Gammaproteobacteria; Moraxellales; Moraxellaceae. The record is from RNAcentral.
CAAGUAAUUAAGUGCAUGUGGUGGAUGCCUUGGCAGUCAGAGGCGAUGAAAGACGUGAUAGCCUGCGAAAAGCUCCGGGGAGGCGGCAAAUAUCCUUUGAUCCGGAGAUGUCUGAAUGGGGGAACCCACCUACUUUAAGGUAGGUAUUGCAACAUGAAUACAUAGUGUUGCAAGGCGAACGAGGGGAAGUGAAACAUCUCAGUACCCUUAGGAAAAGAAAUCAAUUGAGAUUCCCUCAGUAGCGGCGAGCGAACGGGGAUCAGCCCAUUAAGUUAUGUGUGUUUUAGUGGAACGCUCUGGGAAGUGCGAACGUAGAGGGUGAUAUUCCCGUACACGAAAGGGCACACAUAAUGAUGACGAGUAGGGCGAGGCACGUGAAACCUUGUCUGAAUAUGGGGGGACCAUCCUCCAAGGCUAAAUACUCCUGACUGACCGAUAGUGAACCAGUACCGUGAGGGAAAGGCGAAAAGAACCCCUGUGAGGGGAGUGAAAUAGAUCCUGAAACCGCAUGCAUACAAGCAGUGGGAGCACCUUCGUGGUGUGACUGCGUACCUUUUGUAUAAUGGGUCAGCGACUUAUAUUCAGUAGCGAGGUUAACCGUAUAGGGGAGCCGUAGAGAAAUCGAGUCUUAAUAGGGCGUUUAGUUGCUGGGUAUAGACCCGAAACCAGGCGAUCUAUCCAUGAGCAGGUUGAAGGUUGGGUAACACUAACUGGAGGACCGAACCCACUGUCGUUGAAAAGCCAGGGGAUGACUUGUGGAUAGGGGUGAAAGGCUAAUCAAGCCUGGUGAUAGCUGGUUCUCCCCGAAAGCUAUUUAGGUAGCGCCUCGGACGAAUACCAUAGGGGGUAGAGCACUGUUUCGGCUAGGGGGUCAUCCCGACUUACCAAACCGAUGCAAACUCCGAAUACCUAUGAGUACUAUCCGGGAGACAGACUGCGGGUGCUAACGUCCGUAGUCAAGAGGAAAACAAUCCAGACCGCCAGCUAAGGCCCCAAAAUCAUAGUUAAGUGGGAAACGAUGUGGGAAGGCAUAGACAGCUAGGAGGUUGGCUUAGAAGCAGCCACCCUUUAAAGAAAGCGUAAUAGCUCACUAGUCGAGUCGGCCUGCGCGGAAGAUGUAACGGGGCUAAAACUAUGUGCCGAAGCUGCGGAUGUAUACUUUGUAUACGUGGUAGGGGAGCGUUCUGUAAGCCGAUGAAGGUGUGUUGAGAAGCAUGCUGGAGGUAUCAGAAGUGCGAAUGCUGACGUGAGUAACGACAAAACGGGUGAAAAACCCGUUCGCCGAAAGACCAAGGGUUCCAGUCCAACGUUAAUCGGGGCUGGGUGAGUCGACCCCUAAGGCGAGGCCGAAAGGCGUAGUCGAUGGGAAAAUGGUUAAUAUUCCAUUACUUCUGUGUAAUGCGAUGAGAGGACGGAGAAGGCUAAAUCAGCCUGGCGUUGGUUGUCCAGGUGAAAGGAUGUAGGCAUGUAUCUUAGGCAAAUCCGGGGUACUCUAUGCUGAGAUCUGAUAGCAAGCUGUACUUGUACAGCGAAGUGGUUGAUGCCAUGCUUCCAGGAAAAGUCUCUAAGCUUCAGUUACACAGGAAUCGUACCCGAAACCGACACAGGUGGUCAGGUCGAGUAGACCAAGGCGCUUGAGAGAACUCUGCUGAAGGAACUAGGCAAAAUGGUACCGUAACUUCGGGAGAAGGUACGCUGUUGUUGGUGAUGGAACUCGCUUCCUGAGCUGACGACAGCCGCAGAAACCAGGCCGCUGCAACUGUUUAUUAAAAACAUAGCACUCUGCAAACACGAAAGUGGACGUAUAGGGUGUGAUGCCUGCCCGGUGCUGGAAGGUUAAUUGAUGGGGUUAGCGUAAGCGAAGCUCUUGAUCGAAGCCCCAGUAAACGGCGGCCGUAACUAUAACGGUCCUAAGGUAGCGAAAUUCCUUGUCGGGUAAGUUCCGACCUGCACGAAUGGCAUAAUGAUGGCGGCGCUGUCUCCAGCAGAGGCUCAGUGAAAUCGAAAUCGCUGUGAAGAUGCAGUGUACCCGCGGCUAGACGGAAAGACCCCGUGAACCUUUACUGCAGCUUGACACUGAACUUUGACCUUACUUGUGUAGGAUAGGUGGGAGGCUUUGAAGCUGGAACGCUAGUUCCAGUGGAGCCGUCCUUGAAAUACCACCCUGGUAAUGUUGAGGUUCUAACUCUGUCCCGUGAUCCGGGACGAGGACCGUGUCUGGUGGGUAGUUUGACUGGGGCGGUCUCCUCCUAAAGAGUAACGGAGGAGUACGAAGGUGCGCUCAGCGUGGUCGGAAAUCACGCGUAGAGUAUAAAGGCAAAAGCGCGCUUAACUGCGAGACCCACAAGUCGAGCAGGUACGAAAGUAGGUCUUAGUGAUCCGGUGGUUCUGUAUGGAAGGGCCAUCGCUCAACGGAUAAAAGGUACUCUGGGGAUAACAGGCUGAUACCGCCCAAGAGUUCAUAUCGACGGCGGUGUUUGGCACCUCGAUGUCGGCUCAUCUCAUCCUGGGGCUGAAGCAGGUCCCAAGGGUAUGGCUGUUCGCCAUUUAAAGAGGUACGCGAGCUGGGUUUAGAACGUCGUGAGACAGUUCGGUCCCUAUCUACCGUGGGCGCUGGAAAUUUGAGAGGAUCUGCUCCUAGUACGAGAGGACCAGAGUGGACGAACCUCUGGUGUACCGGUUGUGACGCCAGUCGCAUCGCCGGGUAGCUAUGUUCGGAAGGGAUAACCGCUGAAAGCAUCUAAGCGGGAAGCCUACCUCAAGAUAAGAUUUCCCUAGGACUUUAUGUCCUCUAAAGAGCCGUUCGAGACUAGGACGUUGAUAGGUUGGAUGUGGAAGCAUAGUGAUAUGUGAAGCUGACCAAUACUAAUUGCUCGUGAGGCUUG